This 353-nucleotide ribosomal RNA is filed under the name Ferrissia californica. Its description in RNAcentral is "partial 16S ribosomal RNA". The record is from RNAcentral. Lineage: Eukaryota; Metazoa; Mollusca; Gastropoda; Ancylidae.
GAGUCUGGAAUGAAAGGAUUUAUGGGGAAACGCUGUUUCAAGUAUAUAGUAUUAAAUUUAUUUAAAAAGUGAAAAUACUUUUUUAUAGAAAAAAGACGAGAAGACCCUAAGAAUUUUUAGAAAAUUAUAAUAAUUUUUUUUCUUUUUGUUGGGGCGACAAUUAAGCAAUAAUAUUAACCUUAAUUAUUUAUUUAAUCGGUUAUUUCAGUAAAAAUUAAAUUACCUUAGGGAUAACAGCAUAAUUUUUUAAAGUUUGUGACCUCGAUGUUGGACUAGGAACUUUAUAACUAGCAGUUAAAAGAGAUUGUUCUGUUCGAACAAUAUUUUCCUACAUGAUCUGAGUUCAAACCGGA